GAGGCCCAACCGUUGGCCUCGGCCCUGUUGCCCUUCCCCGUGGCUUCUGCCGCUGGGGGCCUGCGUCCCCCAUUUCUCACACUUUACAAUGACUUGAGCAGCUUAACCUUUCUCCUUUCCCAUCUGCAGACCAGAACUCAUGCACCUCCAGUCUGAAGGUUACCUCUGCCACCGUGGUGUCAACUGCCCCCCUCUCCUGACCGGAACUUGCCAGGCUGACAAAUCCAGAGAUUUUUGAGGAGUUCUGAGCCACCACUGCUCAGCUACAAAAACAAAACAAAACAACAUAAAACAACUGAAGAAAAGAAGAGGAGGAGGGAGAGGAGGACAGUAAUGAAGAUAGGAUGGAGAACAGCUCUUUGUCACCUUUGGACUCCAGUGCAUUCUCAGGAAUUGGAAUAAUGUUGAUCUUUGAAAAUAUCUAACACGUGCUUGCUUGCAUGGGUGCAUGCAUGUGUGUGUGUGUGUGUGUGUGUGUGUGUGUGUUGUAGUAUAUGUGUUUAUGCACAUGAGCAGAUAGAGCCCUGAGGUAGAUGUCAGGUAAGUUUUCCACUAUUUCUGCCAUCUCAUUUUUUGCAACAGGGUCACUCAGUGAAUCAGAAUGUCACCAGACAGCUCGUUAGCAAGCUGCAGUAACGUGCCUGUCUCUGUGAGAAGUGGGCAUCAGAUCCCCUGGAAUGGUAGGUAUCACAGGUGGCUGGGAGCUACCUUGUGCUGGGAAUCACAUCCAUCUGGUCAAAUUUUAGAAGGAAUAUUAGAAAAAUAUCCUGUUGCUUUGGAAGUUAAAAGCACACAACACACACACACACAAAUAUGUAGAUGAUUUACUACUGUCAGUGGAACAAGAGAAUAAAAUUAUGAGCUCAACAGUUUAUCACUGUUGAACUUCCUGGGGGAAGAAAACUUGUAGUUCCUAAAAAGUGACAGGGGCUGGAGGGAUGGCUCAAUGGUUAAAAGCACAGGUUGCUCUUCCUGAGGAUCUGAGUUCAAUUCCCAGCACCCACUUUAGUCAGCUUACAAUUGCAAAUAUUUUUCUUAAAAGAAGUUACGAUUUGCAGAAAGCAGGCUUUAAAAGCUUAAAGGUAGACUCAAGAGAUGGUAUGAUAAGCAUAUAAGAAAUGCCUUCUAGAAAUAGCUUAAUUAGGAACCCCACUGCACCAAGGCUGCACCUAGUGACAUCACUUACUCAAGAUAACCAGGCAUGUGAAUGCAUAAGCAGAGAAUUCCAUGACACCUACUUGAGAGGAUAUAAGCAGAGACUAGUCAAGGCCCACCUGGGUUGGAGAGUUCUGAGAGAAGGGGUGUCUGAGAGCAGCGAACAAACAGCCCCAAGUCAAAUCAUGGGUCCAAGCUGGCGGCCCAUGUUCUGCUUUCUCUGGAGAUUUCCAGACAGCUCUCUAUAUUCUGCUCAAUACAAUUCUCUAAACAGCAAUCCCUUCCUAUUCUAAAAAAAUUAUCUGGAUAGCUCAUCUCCUGCAGAUCAUAAGCCCAGCCUUGCAUUUCACUUAUCAAUCCAGUCAUUUAUUCCAGGUUUCAUUUUGCUUAUUCUAUGAAUCCGCAUCCUGUGACUGCAGCCCCUUGAUUCUUAGGAGAUAGCAAGCACACAUUUUCGUUUAACAUUGCAAAAGAAUUCAGAGAUCUGCCUGCCUCUGUUAAGCUGGGUGGGGCCCCAACCUGAAAUUACCAUUUCUACCACACCUGGGCUCAGGAAUCUGUCUACCUUUGUAAGCAUAAACAAAAC
This 1741-nucleotide long non-coding RNA is filed under the name Mus pahari (shrew mouse). RNAcentral's name for it is "lncRNA (MGP_PahariEiJ_G0004609.1)". The record is from RNAcentral. Lineage: Eukaryota; Metazoa; Chordata; Mammalia; Rodentia; Muridae.